GAAGUGCAGCGGCACAUCCCGAUUCUGAUUCCUGAGCACCAGCACCAGCACCACACGCCAUCCCCCCAUGUCCGGGUGUGAGGCCUGACUCUGUGCGUUGUGAUGAUGACCUGCGUCACUACCACCGCGCCAACUGCCGUCCAGUACUCCUCGUAGACAAACUGGCAGGAAAACCAAUAAAACCGAAACAGGGCCCACUUUAGCUGUCCAUACGUUGGCUUUCAAUCCUUUCACGUGCACAUGCACGU
RNAcentral lists this long non-coding RNA (248 nucleotides) under Volvox carteri. RNAcentral describes it as "long non-coding RNA (VCAR_LNC001987)". Lineage: Eukaryota; Viridiplantae; Chlorophyta; Chlorophyceae; Chlamydomonadales; Volvocaceae. The record is from RNAcentral.